This 253-nucleotide ribosomal RNA is filed under the name Prevotellamassilia timonensis. RNAcentral describes it as "partial 16S ribosomal RNA". It matches the Rfam family "Bacterial small subunit ribosomal RNA", at positions 524 to 776 of the family's 1533-position model. Lineage: Bacteria; Pseudomonadati; Bacteroidota; Bacteroidia; Bacteroidales; Prevotellaceae. The record is from RNAcentral.
UACGGAAGGUUCGGGCGUUAUCCGGAUUUAUUGGGUUUAAAGGGAGCGCAGGCGGACCUUUAAGUCAGCUGUGAAAUACGGCGGCUCAACCGUCGAACUGCAGUUGAUACUGGAGGUCUUGAGUGCACACAGGGAUGCUGGAAUUCAUGGUGUAGCGGUGAAAUGCUCAGAUAUCAUGAAGAACUCCGAUCGCGAAGGCAGGCAUCCGGGGUGCAACUGACGCUGAGGCUCGAAAGUGCGGGUAUCAAACAGG